RNAcentral lists this ribosomal RNA (347 nucleotides) under uncultured Thermus sp. RNAcentral's name for it is "bacterial SSU rRNA". It matches the Rfam family "Bacterial small subunit ribosomal RNA", at positions 1033 to 1382 of the family's 1533-position model. The record is from RNAcentral. Lineage: Bacteria; Thermotogati; Deinococcota; Deinococci; Thermales; Thermaceae.
CACAGGUGCUGCAUGGCCGUCGUCAGCUCGUGCCGUGAGGUGUUGGGUUAAGUCCCCGCAACGAGCGCAACCCCCGCGUUAGUUGCCAGCGGUUCGGCCGGGCACUCUAACGGGACUGCCCGCGAAAGCGGGAGGAAGGAGGGGACGACGUCUGGUCAGCAUGGCCCUUAGGCCUGGGCGACACACGUGCUACAAUGCCCACUACAAAGCGAUGCCACCCGGCAACGGGGAGCUAAUCGCAAAAAGGUGGGCCCAGUUCGGAUUGGGUCUGCAACCCGACCCCAUGAAGCCGGAAUCGCUAGUAAUCGCGGAUCAGCCAUGCCGCGGUGAAUACGUUCCCGGGCCUU